Molecule: long non-coding RNA, 966 nt
Filed under: Equus caballus (horse)
Lineage: Eukaryota; Metazoa; Chordata; Mammalia; Perissodactyla; Equidae
Description: lncRNA (ENSECAG00000056357.1)
Source: RNAcentral
CAUCAAGGACAAACUGAAGGUGGACAAGUCCAAAUAGGUCAGGAUAAUUGACCAAAACAGCUCAAAGGGGUUAAAGCAAAAGAGAGCCAGGAGUCAGGAAGGUGAGCUAACUCAAGACCAGGUCAUUGCAGGCACUGGGGAGGGGUAGAGACAUAGGUGACCUGAUUCCGGGAGAGGCACUACUGAUGCUCUGGCCUCCUCGAGGCCACUUCCUGCAGGCCUUACGUGUGUGCGGUAAGCCUUGGCAGUCAGAAAGGGCCACCUGCUGUUAUACAGUGACUCCAAUGGGGGCAGGAAUAGCAGAGCUCAGAUGAGGAGGUUCUCUUAAGGCAGGCCUUCUAGCUUUUUCUAAAGCAGCCCUUCCUUCACAUAUCCCAGAAGAAAGAGAAGAUGGAACAUCUCUGACUUUUCUCACCAAAAAAGGUCUUUCUUCUUUGCUCCCCGCAGGACCUCUCACAGCUUUUAGCAAGCCUAUUUUUGCAUUGUGAAUCUCCAAGAGGGGAUGCCGUAUACAGCCCUUCCAAAAAGCAUUUGACCACAGAGCACUCCUUCAUUAGCGGAAUCGGACACUGCUCACCUCUGUCAAAGAUCCAGGCCAUUUUCUCCCUACCCCAUGAGUCAGCUCCUUGCUCCAGCCUGUGGCCUCUCCGGUGGCAGGCCACUAUCUACAGGGAAUAAAUAGAGCUCCUCAGUCCAUCACAGUGAGGAACCUCGGACUGAUUCCUCUUACUCUCUAAUUCAUCCAAGGGAGGAGGAAGGAGACGCCUCACUUAGCGAACAAUCUCAUUUGGAGGGACUCUGUUUUAGCAACAGGAAGCAAAUCACAUUAGAGAAAUCAUCACCCUCCUGUAGCUCCAAACUGAAACUGAUCUCCUUCUUGACCUUUUGUCUGGAACAUACACUCUGUGGAAAAUGUGGUUCAAGGAGGGAGGGUGUAGGGCUCUGUGUGUGUGUGUCUGGUAUGUU